Molecule: long non-coding RNA, 1191 nt
Organism: Brassica napus (rape)
Lineage: Eukaryota; Viridiplantae; Streptophyta; Magnoliopsida; Brassicales; Brassicaceae
Exons: 2
Source: RefSeq, a predicted model, not a curated record
AGAUCUAUGCCUCUACACAGACAUCAAGUUACCAUUUGUUCAAGCACUUAUGCACUUAGAUAGUUUGGAAUGCAAAACUCAGUAGCAUGAAGUUGAUGAUGAUAAGAGAUAUGAUGCAAGACAGAAACUUUCAACCAUCUUCGAAGCUGUUUUAUCCACUGAGAACCCCAACUUGUGUCUGACCCCGACUCAAAUUUAGAAAAAAAAACCAACAAAUCGAGUAAGUCACCUCCGAUCUCAGAUUUCUCUUCUUCUGUUGACUGUUGCUAGAAAACAACUCAUCUCCACACUUAGAACCUUCGUCACUUUCUUCCCGUAACAUCUGAAAUCUGAGCUACGAAGCUCCCACCGAACCGUUCUGAAUUUUCUGUAUCUUCUUCUUCACCGAGGAAAACCAGAAAAGAAAGAACUUUACUUUGACUUGGGCUAGGACAUAUCUUGGCCCAACUUGUUGCUUCUGAAACUUCAGGCCCAAAUAAACAAUACAACCCAUCUGGAACUGAAACCCAAAACCUUCUCUGCUGCCUUUGUCGAUGAUGACCACGGCUUCACCUUCCUCGACCACCAUUACCGUUAUACAUUCCGGUGAACCUGACAACUGUCUCAGCACUUGAAUCUUGCCACUUGAGAAACCUCAGCAAGACGUCAACCUCCUUCGUCUUUCACCCAACAGUGAAGACAAUACGUAGACGUACUUCUGGUGAGAUUCUCUGCAACUUCCGGCAAGUACUUUGUCGUCGAGUCUGUGUCAUCUGAGUCAACCUGAGAUAGCCACUGAUGCUGCAACAUCUCCACCUCUGACUCAUCUUUCCCACUUGUGAAAUCCACAGAGAGUUUAUCCUUUCAAAUGAUUUCACCAUCUCCGACGAGAACCACUUCGCUUCCGCCUUCUGGUCUCAAAAGCUUCUCAAAGCCAUACUCUUCCAGAGAUAUCUUGAGGUAAAGCUUUCACCUUCUUACAAAGCUUACAACUUUCUCACAAAUCUCUGCUGCAUCUUCCGAAAGCUUCCACCUUUACAUAAAGCUUGAACCUUUACGACCAAACUUGACUUCUUUCUUUGCCAACCUGGCUCUGAUACCAAUCUGUUGAGAUCUAUGCCUCUACACAGACAUCAAGUUACCAUUUGUUCAAGCACUUAUGCACUUAGAUAGUUUGGAAUGCAAAACUCAGUAGCAUGAAGUUGAUGAUGA